GCCCCCGUCGUCCAGAGGCCUAGGACCUCGCCCUUUCACGGCGGAAACGCGGGUUCGAAUCCCGUCGGGGGUA
RNAcentral lists this transfer RNA (73 nucleotides) under Actinomycetes bacterium. RNAcentral describes it as "tRNA-Glu". It matches the Rfam family "tRNA". From Rfam's summary of the family: Transfer RNA (tRNA) molecules are approximately 80 nucleotides in length. Their secondary structure includes four short double-helical elements and three loops (D, anti-codon, and T loops). RNAcentral also lists the same sequence under 2 other names. Lineage: Bacteria; Bacillati; Actinomycetota; Actinomycetes. The record is from RNAcentral.